UAACACAUCGGAACGUAUCCUUAAGUGGGGGAUAGCCCGGCGAAAGCCGGAUUAAUACCGCAUAUUCUGUCCGCAGGAAAGCAGGGGACUUCGUAAGGGGCCUUGCGCUAGAGGAGCGGCCGAUGUCCGAUUAGCUAGUUGGUGAGGUAAAGGCUUACCAAGGCGACGAUCGGUAGCUGGUCUGAGAGGAUGAUCAGCCACACUGGGACUGAGACACGGCCCAG
RNAcentral lists this ribosomal RNA (224 nucleotides) under uncultured bacterium. RNAcentral's name for it is "partial 16S ribosomal RNA". It matches the Rfam family "Bacterial small subunit ribosomal RNA", at positions 111 to 334 of the family's 1533-position model. The record is from RNAcentral.